RNAcentral lists this ribosomal RNA (460 nucleotides) under uncultured bacterium. RNAcentral's name for it is "partial 16S ribosomal RNA". It matches the Rfam family "Bacterial small subunit ribosomal RNA", at positions 338 to 795 of the family's 1533-position model. The record is from RNAcentral.
CCUACGGGAGGCAGCAGUGAGGAAUAUUGGUCAAUGGGCGCGAGCCUGAACCAGCCAAGUCGCGUGAGGGAUGAAGGUUCUAUGGAUCGUAAACCUCUUUUAUAGGGGAAUAAAGUGUGGGACGUGUCCUAUUUUGUAUGUACCUUAUGAAUAAGGAUCGGCUAACUCCGGGCCAGCAGCCGCGGUAAUACGGAGGAUCCGAGCGUUAUCCGGAUUUAUUGGGGUUAAAGGGGGCGUAGGCGGCCUUUUAAGUCAGCGGGGAAAGUUUGGGGAUCAACCAUAGAAUGGCCGUUGAAACUGGGGGGCUUGAGUAUGUGUGAGGAAGGCGGAAUGCGUGGUGUAGCGGUGAAAUGCUUAGAUAUCACGCAGAACCCCGAUUGCGAAGGCAGCCUGCCAAGCCAUGACUGACGCUGAUGCACGAAAGCGUGGGGAUCAAACAGGAUUAGAUACCCGAGUAGUC